RNAcentral lists this non-coding RNA (37 nucleotides) under unclassified sequences. RNAcentral's name for it is "DUF805b RNA". It matches the Rfam family "DUF805b RNA". From Rfam's summary of the family: Bacteroidetes, Chlorobi (1 example), Proteobacteria. Lineage (Flavobacteria) The record is from RNAcentral.
ACCGCGGAACCCGAAAAGCGGAAAAAGAGAGUAGGGA